Molecule: ribosomal RNA, 253 nt
Filed under: uncultured bacterium
Lineage: Bacteria
Description: partial 16S ribosomal RNA
Rfam family: Bacterial small subunit ribosomal RNA
Source: RNAcentral
UACGUAGGGUCCGAGCGUUGUCCGGAUUCAUUGGGCGUAAAGAGCUCGUAGGCGGCUCAGUAAGUCGGAUGUGAAAACUCUGGGCUCAACCCAGAGCCUGCAUCCGAAACUGACGGGCUAGAGUUCUGGAGGGGGUAGCGGAAUUCCUGGUGUAGCGGUGAAAUGCGUAGAUAUCAGGAGGAACACCGGUGGCGAAGGCGGCUACCUGGACAGAAACUGACGCUGAGGCGCGAAAGCUAGGGGAGCAAACAGG